CGCUGGUCGGAAAAUCGGAGCAGGGUUUCCCCGGACGGGGGCCGUCCGACCGCGCAGCUACCGUUUCGCCAGACGCAUUUGUCUCCCGUCCUAAGGACGCCGCAGCCGGUCGGGCAGCGAAAGCGCGACGGCCUGAGGGGCGGACGACGGCAGGUGGCCGGUGGCAGGCUUCGUGCCGGUCGCCGGUUGUUAGCCGGUUCCGCCAGUGGCCCGUCGCUCGACCGAGGUAUCACCAGGCCCCAUUCCACGGGGUUUUCUUCGCCUCCUCCGCAAGGAAGCCGGGACGUACCGUCGCAAGCGAAGACAUCCGCCACUCGCACUCCGACGGAGUGGACGAGCGGAACUGUCGGCGCCGUUGGCGACGGAGGGCCCGUCGGAGGCCGGAGGCUGGCGGCGAGUAGGUCGGUCACCCACCCGACCCGUCUUGAAACACGGACCAAGGAGUCUAACAUGUGCGCGAGUCAAUGGGUCUUGAACAGGCCCAGAGGCGCAAUGAAAGCGAAGGUCGGCCCCGCGCCGACCGAGUUGGGAUCCCCCGCCCCUCGCAGGGCGGCGGGCGCACCAACGACCCGUCCUAUCCGGCUCGCCGGUUGGGCGGAGUGUGAGCGCAAACGUUGGGACCCGAAAGAUGGUGAACUAUGCCCGGACAGGACGAGGCCAGAG
RNAcentral lists this ribosomal RNA (663 nucleotides) under Kilyana hendersoni. RNAcentral's name for it is "eukaryotic LSU rRNA". The stretch from base 436 to 663 matches the Rfam family "Eukaryotic large subunit ribosomal RNA", at positions 665 to 857 of the family's 3401-position model. The record is from RNAcentral. Lineage: Eukaryota; Metazoa; Arthropoda; Arachnida; Araneae; Zoropsidae.